UAAUGGUAACAUUUGUGUUGUUAUUCGUUAUUUGUAUUCUUUGUUACAGAAAUUGUAAUUUGAUGAACUUUAAUUAUGGUGUCUUGAUAUUUCCAGUGUUUCCCACUCUGGGUAGAUACCCAGGAGUGGGAUUGCUGGAUUAAAUGGUAUAUGGCUGGGACCAUCCCUGACACUCUUUUUCCUUGAAUGUGAACUCAUGAGUGAAGCAUACAUCCCUUGUCCAUGGAACAAGAAAGAUGAGGAUGAAAAGACAACAUAUUAAGGAUGUGAUGUGAAAAGCAGGAAGAACUUCUUAUUCAUGUUAUCACUUAGCAGGUGUUUGGAAGUCAUGGAAGUUUAAAAUAGGAGAUUAAUAUAAAAUUCGUAUUUAAGAAAAUUGCUUUGGAAUCUAUGGGGAGGAAAGAAUGGAAGAGAAAUAGAAAGGUAAAAAUUAAAACUUUUAAGAAGCUAAUGUAAAC
Molecule: non-coding RNA, 458 nt
Organism: Macaca mulatta (Rhesus monkey)
Lineage: Eukaryota; Metazoa; Chordata; Mammalia; Primates; Cercopithecidae
Source: RefSeq, a predicted model, not a curated record